RNAcentral lists this long non-coding RNA (2761 nucleotides) under Lynx pardinus (Iberian lynx). Lineage: Eukaryota; Metazoa; Chordata; Mammalia; Carnivora; Felidae. The record is from RNAcentral.
GGGAAGUUUAGGAGUUGAGGAAAGAAGAUUAAAGAGCGCGAGGAGGUAACCCCCAAAACUCUAAUUUGUUGUGGGGCGGGCUGGAGGGAGGGGAGUGUGCGUGCGAGGGGGACGAGGCGUCCGCGAGACACUUGGAGUGGGGGGCGACGGGACGGGAAAGGAAGGGACUGGGGUGGGGUUGGGGGAGCGAGUUAGAGAGACAAGCCCGCGGGCCGUCGGCCGGCCGAGGGCGCGCGCCCCCGCGCCCCGCCUGCGCCCCCUCCCCCCCGGGCGCCCCUCCUCGCGCGGGGCGGUGGCUGCGGCCUCGCGCGACCCAGCGGGAAGGGAGGGAGCGCGGGAGGGUCCCGGGUCCCAGGAGCGGGCGGGCGGGCGGGCAGUCCCGCAGCUGGAAACGUGUCUUUUGCCUUCUUUUCUCUACUCCCUGCGCCUGGAGUUGCCGCUUCCAAGAAGAGGAGCUGAGGGGGACUAGCCGGGGCUCAGGAGCUGCUAGAGGCGCCGGCUUGUCUUCCGCCCCCUCCCUCCUCGCCCUCCCCCCGCUUGCCGUGGCUCUCGCGGUCUCUGGAGCGUCUUCAGAGAACUGGGGGGGGCGGGAGGUGUCCUGGCCCCAGAGCCGCGGGACGCCCCUCCAGACACCAAAGCUACCGGCCCCCGCCUGCUUCGCUGCUACGACUAUAGAGGAGGGGGCUUGGGAAGGGAAGAUACGCCUUUCCUUCUUUCUGUCCUUUGGGCCCCUUUGGAAACAUUAAACAAUGUUUACGCUUUUCGAUAGUUGAGAUAGAACGGUUGGAAGCUUUUUGAAAGUUGAAAAGAAAUGCACUCUCCUACGUUGUUAAAUGCAUUACUGUGUGGCUUCUGGUCCUCUUCCACCACCCACCUCACGCCCCCCGCCACCCACCCCCCUCUCCGCAGCUGUUAUCCUUUUUAAGGAUGCUGAAGAGGCAGGAGGCAGGGAUUUUCUAAAAGUUCUAUUGAUAAACACACUUGCACAAACAUAUGCUAGGCACACACAUAAACUAUAAACAUUAGCGAAAAACACAAUAUGGCGUACAGCUACACUACCUAGCACGGUAAUCCGCUGAUCUCUUAACACUGAACUCAGUUGAAUGGGGUCAGUGGCAGGAUGACAGUUCUCAAAUAAAAAUCUGGAAGAAAUAGGAAGUAAUUUGGAAGUCUGUGGGCUAAAUAAUGUCCUCAGAAUCAGCACUGGCACACGUAAACUUUCUAGACCUCUGGAAAUUGUCUUCACCACUUAACCAUUAAUGGUAAAGUAUGGUAAAUGAUGCUAAAAAGUAUGCCAAGAUGAUGCUAAAGUGGAGAGUUUCUCACUGCGUGGUCGUGUAUAAGUUUCAGCUAAUAGAAUUAACAGAGGCCACUCGUUCCCCAUGAUUUCAAGCGAGUUCUAUUCCAAAGUUAGCUAUCCUUAACUUGUUGCUAGUGAAAGUUUGAAAACAAAUUGUAGCGACCAUUUUGUAAAUAAAUUCUUUAGCUGUAAACACUAAAUUUAAAUGAUAAGCAUUUGUAUUAGCAAAUUCAGUUCAUAAAUGGUUUACUUUCUUACCUGUUGCUCCUAAUCUCAAAUACCAUUUGCUAUCACAUGGGAAUAGUUCAGAUAUACUCUCCUCUGCCCGUCACGUAAGUUUGACCAGGCCAGAUUUGGCUACUUUCUGCAUUUCAGCUUUACAGCUAGGUACGUCUAGAUUUCUAGGAAAACAACAACAACAACGAAAACAAACAAACAAAAAAAACAAUUUACAUUGAUUUUACAUGCCUUUGUUCACUCUUCUCAUUCUUAAUCAGAAUGUAUCAAAGUUGGUGUACAAAUUGUGCAUGGUAAUAUCACUGUGCCCUCUUGGGAAUGGGCUUCUCUCAAAAAAGCUUUUGGAAUUGCCCUUGAAGAAUUGCUGAUGUUACUCUUUGUUCAGGGCUCAAGGUUUAAUUCUUAAGAUUGUGGUUGUGAUUUCCAUUGAGUUCAAUUUUGGAGGGCUUUAGGCUUAAGAAUCUAUGGUGCUCAAGGAAACAGGUGAGAGGAAGAAGAAAAGUGAAUUUUCUAGAAAUAUACUAGCUGCUCAGUGAGUCCAGCAGUUGGGUAUUUUUGGUUUUGUGAUUUCAGAUCUCACAGACCAGUGGAAUACAGGCCUUUUGCAUAUGAAGAUCAGGUGACAAGUUAACUGUCUACCAGCCUCCAAAGCAAUACGCCCUUUCAUGGUGAGGUCCCAAUUUUAACAGACUAAAGAAAAAAGUUUAAGAUUAAAAAAUUGUUAAAUUUUAUCCAUUUUGGGGAAGAAGUCUUUAUGCUUAUCUGUCUAGCUCAAUUAAGAUGCCAGUAUUUUAAGCUUACUACUACAGCAAGAAAAUCAGAUACAGUUCAUGUGUACACUCACUGGCUACUGAAAGACAACAUGAGUUUAGAGGAAAGAAAAAACUUCUAUGUCUGUGUGGCUAGUGAGAGUUACAAUUUUGGGUGUGUGUGUUUAGAACUACUAGAUGAGAUGGCAGUUUACUAUGUAGUUUGUUCAGAAAGUUUUUGUGACCCACAAAUACCCAACUAAUUUUGCUGUCAAAUUAAUAUGAAUCUGACUACUUGGCAUAGGAAUAAAAUCUAGGGAAAAAGCCAGGUUAAAUGAAUUAUUUUUAUCUCAGUAGCGAAAGUCUAAAGAAGGCUUUCUUACCAAAUUGGACUUGACUGAAUAAUUAGGUCAGUUUAGAUACAACUAAGUUACUGUAAAAGAUCUAAAAUUUAUAAGUGAAUUACAAAUUAUUU